Molecule: transfer RNA, 74 nt
Filed under: Astyanax mexicanus (Mexican tetra)
Lineage: Eukaryota; Metazoa; Chordata; Actinopteri; Characiformes; Acestrorhamphidae
Rfam family: tRNA
About the family: Transfer RNA (tRNA) molecules are approximately 80 nucleotides in length. Their secondary structure includes four short double-helical elements and three loops (D, anti-codon, and T loops).
Source: Rfam by way of RNAcentral
GGCCCAGUGGCCUAAUGGAUAAGGCAUCAAGCCUUCGGAGCUUGAGGAUUGUGGGUUCGAGUCCAUCUGGGUCA